AAUUUUCAGCACAAUGGCGUCUCUUCUUUCAAUGGAAAUUAUUCUUCAAGGAAUUUCCAUUUUUCAACAUUAUUUCUCCAUAUGUUUCCUGGCUUCUCUUCAGAGCUCCUGACAUUCAUGCUGCUAGAUUCCUCCUGACCAGGUAAAGAUUUAUUUGACCUGUCUUCCAUGCCCAAUACUAUCCUUUGAUUCAGGUAAGAGAGUUCUCUACAGUUGACCUAAGCUUUAGAGGGCUCCACUCUGGUCUUCCCAUGUAUGUCCUUUUUCCCAUCAGUUGAAGACUCUGUGGGAUCAAGGAGAUUUGCUUCCAGUUUGCCAUUUUCUUAUCCUCUGACCAUACUCUAGGUACCUCGCGCUAUAGAAUAUUCUGCUCAAAUGGUCAUAAGUUCUCUUCUCCUGAAGUUGAACCUCUAAAUUCAGUGGCCUGAGGAAAGUGUGGGUGUGGGUAAAGCUUGAAAAUGUGGUUUGGAACAUCCACAUAUGCGUGGCAAAGAAACAUUAUGGUGUGGUAGAGAGGGAAGUUAUGGAGAAGAAGUGGGUAUGGGAA
Molecule: long non-coding RNA, 547 nt
Organism: Neofelis nebulosa (Clouded leopard)
Lineage: Eukaryota; Metazoa; Chordata; Mammalia; Carnivora; Felidae
Exons: 3
Source: RefSeq, a predicted model, not a curated record